RNAcentral lists this ribosomal RNA (490 nucleotides) under uncultured bacterium. RNAcentral describes it as "partial 16S ribosomal RNA". It matches the Rfam family "Bacterial small subunit ribosomal RNA", at positions 29 to 505 of the family's 1533-position model. The record is from RNAcentral.
AGUGAACGCUGGCGGUAGGCCUAACACAUGCAAGUCGAACGGCAGCACAGUAAGAGCUUGCUCUUACGGGUGGCGAGUGGCGGACGGGUGAGGAAUACAUCGGAAUCUACUUUUUCGUGGGGGAUAACGUAGGGAAACUUACGCUAAUACCGCAUACGACCUACGGGUGAAAGCAGGGGAUCUUCGGACCUUGCGCGAUUGAAUGAGCCGAUGUCGGAUUAGCUAGUUGGCGGGGUAAAGGCCCACCAAGGCGACGAUCCGUAGCUGGUCUGAGAGGAUGAACACCCACCCUGAAACUGAAACGCGGCCCACACUCCCAGGGGGGAGAGGAGGGGAAAAUUUGGGAAAAGGGGCGAAAGCCAUCCCCCCCCACACCGUGUGGGAAAAAAGGCCCUGGGGUUUGAAACGCCUUUUUUUGGGAAAAAAAAAAGAGAGGUUAAAUCCCCCGGUUUUCUGGCGGUCCCCAAAAAAAAACCACCGUCUAACUUCG